GAGCGGACUGAGGUAGCUUGCUACCAAGGUUAGCGGCGGACGGGUGAGUAACGCGUAGGAAUCUACCUGGUAAUGGGGGAUAACGUUCCGAAAGGAACGCUAAUACCGCAUACGCCCUAAGGGGGAAAGUGGGGGAUCUUCGGACCUCACGUUAUCAGAUGAGCCUGCGUAGGAUUAGCUAGUUGGUAGGGUAAAGGCCUACCAAGGCGACGAUCCUUAACUGGUCUGAGAGGAUGAUCAGUCACACUGGAACUGAGACACGGUCCAGACUCCUACGGGAGGCAGCAGUGGGGAAUAUUGGACAAUGGGGGCAACCCUGAUCCAGCCAUGCCGCGUGUGUGAAGAAGGCCUUCGGGUUGUAAAGCACUUUCGGUCAGAAAGAAGGGUGUUGAAUUAAUACUUCAGCAUUUUGACGGUACUGACAUAAGAAGCACCGGCUAACUCCGUGCCAGCAGCCGCGGUAAUACGGAGGGUGCAAGCGUUAAUCGGAAUUACUGGGCGUAAAGCGCGCGUAGGCGGUUUGUUAAGUCGGAUGUGAAAGCCCUGGGCUCAACCUGGGAACUGCAUACGAUACUGGCAAGCUAGAGUGCAAUAGAGGGG
This 600-nucleotide ribosomal RNA is filed under the name uncultured bacterium. RNAcentral describes it as "bacterial SSU rRNA". It matches the Rfam family "Bacterial small subunit ribosomal RNA", at positions 64 to 659 of the family's 1533-position model. The record is from RNAcentral.